Molecule: long non-coding RNA, 971 nt
Organism: Gossypium raimondii (Peruvian cotton)
Lineage: Eukaryota; Viridiplantae; Streptophyta; Magnoliopsida; Malvales; Malvaceae
Exons: 3
Source: RefSeq, a predicted model, not a curated record
CACAUCCAAGAAAAAAACCAAAAAGCUUAUUCAACUCUGUGUUUCUUCCCAACUGAAGCCAAGCCAGUUCUUGUUUGUUCUUCGUCUUAAAACUCUCAAAUGGAUGAAAGGGGUCCAAAAUCAAAGAACCCAGAACCAGGAAACCAAGGAAAUGAUGAGAAAAAGAGCAAAAAGGGAUUGCGACUAUUAGCUCGAGUUAAACCAUCUGAGAUUUUCUUGAAAUCUAUAACCAAGGAUGUUACCAAUGUUCAGAUUACAUACCUUGUAGGUGCUUUUUCUUGUUCCUUACUAAUGCAACAUAUUCUGUUUUUUAUAUCUCACAAAAGUAACAUUCCAGACACUAUUUUACAGUUGUCUAGUGUCUGAAAAUAUGGAUAUUUGCAGGGAUUGAACUAUGUUGGUUCAAUGUGCUUUUCAGAUUACGCAUUUGUUCUUGUUGCUUCUAACGUUUUGCAAUUUAAAUGCAUGGCUUGUGCGGCGAAGAUUACGACAUACAGCCUUGAGGGAAGUGAGAAGCUCCUUCAGCUAGUCUCAAAUUACUCCAUGGUUUCAAACUUGAAGGAUAAUGAAUCUGAAGUAUGGAACCAAUGAUUCUUCAUGUCACCAAUAGGAGCUGCGACAAUAUAUUUUUUGAUGUAUUUAGUUGGCUUGCAGUUUAUGGCUAUAUAGUAGAAGAGAUAAGCAUAAAGAAAUGGUCGAUCACCCACACUAAUUUCCUGUCCUGAACAGUCUUCUUCAUCCGUUAGUAGCCAUUGUUUUGACAAUCAUGGUAUAAGAGGAUCACCCACAUCAACAGUCAUUGGACCUUCCAAGCAUCGGCAUUCAACUCUCGGGGAUCCCAAUUUUGUGGAGAAUAACUUCAAGGUAUUGAAUAGAUUAAAGAUUUCCUUUUCUCACAUUGUUGUGCGAUAUUUGAUUAGUUCUCUAUAAUCCUUUGCGAUAUUUGCUUCAAGCCAAUUGUUCUGCCCCCC